Molecule: long non-coding RNA, 771 nt
Organism: Gracilinanus agilis (Agile Gracile Mouse Opossum)
Lineage: Eukaryota; Metazoa; Chordata; Mammalia; Didelphimorphia; Didelphidae
Exons: 3
Source: RefSeq, a predicted model, not a curated record
GCAGCUGGGCUGCCUCCUCCUUUCUUGUGACAACAUCCUUGAAGGAAGAUAAAAAGUCUGCUCCUGCAGACUAGAAAGUUCUAUGUUGUGGUGAUGCAGGGAAUGGAGAGCCAAGCCGAGAAACAGGAGAUCCUGGGUUCAGGUCUAUCCUCAGACACUCUCCAGCUCUGUGAUCCUGGGACCUCAUUCCAAGCUAACCUCCCACAACUGCCAAAUUGAUUUUCUGAAAGUCAUGGUCAAGUCAUGUCACACCCUGUCCCCAUUCACUGAAUUCCAGUGUCUCUCUCCUGCCCACAGAACCAAUGCUUUAACCCCCAUUGUCUAGCCCUACCCACUCUUCUGCCUUGGAAUUGAUGCCUAGAAUUGAUUCUGAGAUGGAAGGAAAGGUGGAUGAUUGGUGGAGAAGAAAAAGGGCCUUUCCUUGGAAGAAUUGAUUAAAGGAUAAUCUCUUUUAUCCUAAUACCUGAAACCCUAAAGUGAUCAGACUAAAGACUACUGAAAUGGAAGAACCCUGUUCCACUCACCUGGAGGCACUUUCAACCAAUUCCUAUUGAAUUUAGAAUCUAGAAAUGGAAUAGAGAUAUGGUUUCUCAUCUAUUCAGAACCCAGAACUGUAUUGUUAUAUGUCUUGAUUAACUUUAUCAGAUUCUAUAUACCUAAAAUUGUCUUAGAGCUAAGUCAUCUUCAAAAGCAUUGUAUCUAACUAGAUCCUUUUCUCUCCACCCAUACAGCAAUACCCUAAUAAAAUCCUUUUUCACCUCUCACCAAGAA